AACGCGAAGAACCUUACCUACUCUUGACAUCCUGCGAAUCUGGCUUAGUAGCUGGAGUGCCGAAAGGAGCGCAGAGACAGGUGCUGCAUGGCUGUCGUCAGCUCGUGUUGUGAGAUGUUGGGUUAAGUCCCGUAACGAGCGCAACCCUUGUCCUUAGUUGCUAGCGAGUCAAGUCGAGCACUCUAAGGAAACUGCCGGUGAUGAACCGGAGGAAGGUGGGGACGACGUCAAGUCAUCAUGGCCUUUAUGAGUAGGGCUACACACGUGCUACAAUGGGGCGUACAGAGGGUAGCGAAACCGCGAGGUGGAGCCAAUCUCUUAAAGCGUCUCGUAGUCCGGAUUGGAGUCUGCAACUCGACUCCAUGAAGUUGGAAUCGCUAGUAAUCGCGGAUCAGCCAUGCCGCGGUGAAUACGUUCCCGGGCCUUGUACACACCGGAGUGC
This 442-nucleotide ribosomal RNA is filed under the name uncultured bacterium. RNAcentral describes it as "bacterial SSU rRNA". It matches the Rfam family "Bacterial small subunit ribosomal RNA", at positions 958 to 1398 of the family's 1533-position model. The record is from RNAcentral.